RNAcentral lists this long non-coding RNA (1320 nucleotides) under Hordeum vulgare. RNAcentral describes it as "long non-coding RNA (HVUL_LNC017676)". The record is from RNAcentral. Lineage: Eukaryota; Viridiplantae; Streptophyta; Magnoliopsida; Poales; Poaceae.
GAGUUUUGACGACCAUGGAAUCUUACAACUGUUCUCACCCACAGAAUGUACCGCUAUCUUUAUCGUGUACUCCAUCUGUAAAACAAUAGUUUUCUGCGCAAAAAUUAAUAAAUGUUAAAUCUCCGUUAAAAUACCAAUUAAGAGGAAUCAGUAGAGAGCAUGACGGAAAAACCUUAGAGAUUAGAUGACUAACUUCCAGGAGUCAAGAGAACAACCCAUUGCGUUUCUUAAGUUGGUAGGGCCACACGGUUUUACAUGGUAGGUAAGCCUACAUGUAAACUCCAAAACAUGCAAUUUAAAUAGAGUAAAUGAUGGUAGCACAUUAUAUGGUGGAAAAAUAAGUAUAAAUAUUAAAUUACUUAUAACGGUACUCGAGCUAAUUACGUGCACAUGUAACUCCAUGAAAGACAUCUUUGCGUAAUUCUGACUACCAUGCUUGACCCGUUGACUUUGAACCCUGUGGUCACAUCUUAAAUCAGUUCUUAUUUCAUUCAAAUAUGUGCGUUAUAAACAGAUUGACAUCCAAGCAUCGUGAUUAAUCAACAGAGUUUCUUAAUUCAAGGUCAUUGAGUAGUGAAUGUCCAUAGUACCAACAAAAUGUUAGGGAUAAACAAAAUCAAAUCACUGUGAGAUUGAUCAAAGAGGGCCAUUAAUUCAUGUUUAGUGAUUGCAAAGCAGCAGAAGAGUUGGUAGAAACAACUUAAAAUGGACUGCCACCAGCACAUAAAAAUUCCACAGAUGGUAGUCAGGAUCAAAGCUAAAAGAUUCGAUCAUAUGUAGACUGCAGCAAACAUUUGUGAUUUAUUAACUAUUAAAAUAUAGUUAUACUAAAAGAACAAAAUUUCUGUUCCAAUUUAGAGACAUAAUAAUUAUAAUUAACUACCUAGGUUUGCAACAAAAGCUACGUGAGAGCUGAGCCUUCCCUAAGACUGGAGCCUCGCAUGCAGAGGAGACACGUACAGAAGUUAAUCAGAUCUAGGGUAGUAAUGCACAGGAAGGUCUACAUAGACCAAUUAGCUGGGCAUGCUAUGGAUAGAUGGAGGGGCUCGGUGGUGAGUACCUUGGUCAGGAGCAUUGCCAACGCUUGGUAGGAGAACCGAGCCAUCAUGGUCAAACCUUCGCAGUGAGGAGAUUGGACGGAGCAGCACAACACAUAUGAUACCGGAAGAAGAGGGCGUUUGCUGCUAGGAAACGCGAGUGCAUGGGGUUGACCUAGGCGAUCUAAGUAUGGUUAGAUUGGAAAGACCCAGGAUGUUUAAAGAACAUAAAGGUAGAUCUGAUAGACGCCGUAUGAUGUUAGCUUUCCAUCAUUAAACUGAG